UGCAGAAUAUUGUGAACCAUCGAGUCUUUGAACGCAAGUUGUGCCCGAGGCCUCGUGGCCGAGGGCACCCCUGCUUGGGUGUCA
Molecule: ribosomal RNA, 84 nt
Filed under: Zingiber officinale
Lineage: Eukaryota; Viridiplantae; Streptophyta; Magnoliopsida; Zingiberales; Zingiberaceae
Description: partial 5.8S ribosomal RNA
Rfam family: 5.8S ribosomal RNA
About the family: 5.8S ribosomal RNA (5.8S rRNA) is a component of the large subunit of the eukaryotic ribosome. It is transcribed by RNA polymerase I as part of the 45S precursor that also contains 18S and 28S rRNA. Functionally, it is thought that 5.8S rRNA may be involved in ribosome translocation.
Source: RNAcentral